Molecule: non-coding RNA, 1246 nt
Organism: Petromyzon marinus (sea lamprey)
Lineage: Eukaryota; Metazoa; Chordata; Hyperoartia; Petromyzontiformes; Petromyzontidae
Source: RefSeq, a predicted model, not a curated record
AUUAUGGAUGAUAUUGGUCACGAAAAGCCUACGUGUUAAUCCCUCCACCAGUCCAAUCUGUAUGGGGAUAGAGUGUUGUCCCCUCGCACACGUGGAUUUUCUCCAGGCUGCCCCGGUGUACCUCCCACACGUGAACACUCAACAAUUGGCCCGUAACAUCUUAAUAAAUAGAGGACCACAGAGCUCGGGGCGUGAGGUUUGACACCGGCUCACCACGUGGGUGCACGCCCCACUCGUCUGUGGUUCCGCCCGACGCCUCUUGAGUCGUCCUCCCUCUGUCUAUGAAAUCGAGCGCGUCGCGUGUGGCGAGCGCGGCGGCGGCGCGCCUUUACCAGUUGGACUUUAUUCACCAUCAUCAUCAUCAUUAUUGUAAAGUCAAUUCGGUGUGCGGGUGGUGGUUUUAUUAGUAUACAGGGUGCUUAAAAAUGUUCACACUUAUACGGGACUUUCGUUUUUAAUGGAAAAAGAAGGGAUACUACACUGUAACGUGAUAACAAGUGUGAUGUUAAUAGCUUCAAAGAGUCAGAGAGUCUCCACUUGGUCCGUCAUCGUUGCCAACGCGUGCCUGGGAUCUUCUCCAGGUGAUCUCCAGAGCCCGGCGGCGGCACGUCUCUCGUGGUUUUUGUUUGCAAAUUCUCGGGAGCGUUCACGUUGUUUUUGAAGCACCCUGGACAUCAGUUGAGCGUGAGAGGAUGGCCACGGAUUGGGCUUCGGCAUCCAUCCAGCAGUGGAGUGACCCUGGGCGGCGGCGGCGACGAUGAUGACGACGACGCUGCCGCUCCAUUUGUCAGCAAGUGGGUCGGUCUCGACAGCCGGGCAACCGUCGCCGUUGACAUCACUCCUCUCAAUGGGCAUCGUAGCCUGGCGAGCCGGUUGCCACGGUCGGCUACGUACGGUGCGAAAGAAGUUCAACAUACAUCGUGACAAUCCCAAGGCUUGCUUGGAGGGCUGUACAGAUUUAAAAAAAAACUGGGCCACAACCGCAUCUUCCUGUUCCUCCAUUGCCUAAGUAAUAAUCAUUAUUUUACAACAAAUAAAAUCUGCCACCAAAUCCGUGGCACCUUUUCUUGACCUAUUUUGACCGCCCCCCCGCCGCCUCCCAAUCUCGGCCGUGUUUUGCUGAAUGAGCGAAGACGACAUCGGGUCUGGAGUGUCGGCACGAUCUUCGUCAUCUUGGCAUGCUGCAAGCCUUGCCGUUGCUAUUCCCGGCUUCUGUGUGUGUGGUGUAGCGGUUAGCGCUACGUCG